Molecule: ribosomal RNA, 608 nt
Filed under: uncultured Staphylococcus sp.
Lineage: Bacteria; Bacillati; Bacillota; Bacilli; Caryophanales; Staphylococcaceae
Description: bacterial SSU rRNA
Rfam family: Bacterial small subunit ribosomal RNA
Source: RNAcentral
GGGGUGAGGGGGGGGGUACCUGGCGGCGUGCCUAUCUGCAGUCGUGCGAGGGAUUUGGAGCUUGCUCCUUUGCCGUUAGCGGCGGACGGGUGAGUAACACGUGGGUAACCUACCUAUAAGACUGGAAUAACUCCGGGAAACCGGGGCUAAUGCCGGAUAACAUAUAUAACCGCAUGGUUCUAUAGUGAAAGAUGUUUUUGCUAUCUUUUAUACAUGGACCCGCGCCGUAUUAGCUAGUUGGUAAGGUAACGGCUUACCAAGGCGACGAUACGUAGCCGACCUGACAGGGUGAUCGGCCACACUGGAACUGAGACACGGUCCAGACUCCUACGGGAGGCAGCAAUAGGGAAUCUUCCGCACUGGGCGAAAGCCUGACGGACCAACGCAGCGUGAGUGAUGAAGGGUUUCAGCUCGUAAAACUCUGUUAUUAUGGAAGAACAUAUGUGUAAGUAACUGUGCACAUCUUGACGGUACCUAAUCAAAAAGCCACGGCUAACUACGUGCCAGCAGCCGCGGUAAUACGUAUGUGCCCAGCGUUAUCCGAAUAAUUGGACUAAAGCGCGCGUAGGCGUUCCUUAUUCUUAUGUAAACCCACGGCUCACCCGUGC